Dendronephthya gigantea is the source of this 104-nucleotide long non-coding RNA. RefSeq lists it as uncharacterized. Lineage: Eukaryota; Metazoa; Cnidaria; Anthozoa; Malacalcyonacea; Nephtheidae. The record is from RefSeq and is a predicted model, not a curated record. The transcript is spliced from 3 exons.
CCAAAAGCCAUGGAAAGUAAAAGAGGUGUAGGAACGAAUUUAAAGUUAGGGGGUUGGAAGCUUUCUACGCUUAUGGUAGAGAAUGAAACCAUUUACAUUUACGG